This 74-nucleotide transfer RNA is filed under the name Ignavibacteriota bacterium. RNAcentral describes it as "Ignavibacteriae bacterium (activated sludge metagenome) tRNA-Ile". It matches the Rfam family "tRNA". Rfam says of the family: Transfer RNA (tRNA) molecules are approximately 80 nucleotides in length. Their secondary structure includes four short double-helical elements and three loops (D, anti-codon, and T loops). Further hydrogen bonds mediate the characteristic L-shaped molecular structure. tRNAs have two regions of fundamental functional importance: the anti-codon, which is responsible for specific mRNA codon recognition, and the 3' end, to which the tRNAs corresponding amino acid is attached (by aminoacyl-tRNA synthetases). tRNAs cope with the degeneracy of the genetic code in two manners: having more than one tRNA (with a specific anti-codon) for a particular amino acid; and 'wobble' base-pairing, i.e. permitting non-standard base-pairing at the 3rd anti-codon position. Lineage: Bacteria; Pseudomonadati; Ignavibacteriota. The record is from RNAcentral.
GGGGCGAUAGCUCAGAUGGUUAGAGCAACGGACUCAUAAUCCGUGGGUCGUGGGUUCAAGCCCCACUCGCCUUA